RNAcentral lists this long non-coding RNA (5309 nucleotides) under Homo sapiens (human). RNAcentral describes it as "HSALNT0150979". The record is from RNAcentral. Lineage: Eukaryota; Metazoa; Chordata; Mammalia; Primates; Hominidae.
UGUGGCUGUAAUAGACCGGUGCAUCUGUUUAACAUCAACAGAAAGCAAACAGAAGGGCUGUCAUCUCUUCCAGUUUGAAACAGAUAAAAACAGUGAAUCUACAAAUGGCAAGCUCAUAAGUGCUUUCCUGUGGGGAGAAAUCCUGAAGGGGUCUCUUGCUCCAGGAGCAGCGUGGAGGAGACUUUGAAGCAGGAAUACCACCCCACCCUCACCCACUCACCCAUGUCCGUUUAUUUUGGACAUGCUACAGUAAAUCCUCCCCAAGACAUGCGCUGCUCGUGUUUCAUGAGCUUAACAGAAGGAAUGGCAGAAGUUUGCCCAAAUAAGGUACAUGGGCAGACACCUGAGGCUUUCAACACCUGUUUUAACAAAGAAGAAGAACCCAUCAAGUCAAUUUUUCUGAUCCAGCAAACAGCAUAGGUCUGGGAGUCAAAAAGCCUGGUAGCACAUAGCCUCUCAACUACUUAUUACCUUCCCUGACACAUUUGUCCAUCCUGGAUGUCCAUUGAUUCAUCAUAAAGGAUUGUCGAAAGAAUUAAAUGAGCCAGCGUAAAAGCAAUCAUUCUCUUUAUGAUCGCUCCUUCAAGUCAGACUCCAAGCCACUCGUAAAAGAAAGAAAAAAGCCUGGAAGGAGAGGCCUGCAGCAAAGUGAGGUGUCUCCUUUUAUGAGCAGUGCCCUGGGAUAGCUCCAAACCCAAAAGCUAAGUGCCCUGAAGACAGUCCCCAAAUAGGAUGUUAUAGAGAUGAAUGAAGCAAUGUUUCCAAGAUGCUUGGAGGUCUGGGAUGAAAAUCUGCUGAAACAGAGCAAAAAGCUAAGUCGUGAUCAGCCUUGCAUACAGCGGAAUGUAGAUCCUCGUCAUCGGAUUUGGACCCAGUGUAGACAGCACCUGAGCAUCAGUCAACUCCACCUUCUAAAGCCUGUGUUUAGCCACUGCAUCAAAAAGCAAAAGUACCAAUGGACAUUCUUCACCCUGGUUCAGCGUUUCUUCAGCCAAGUGCUUACUCAAGGAACCAAGAAUAAGAGAUAACAAUUUUUUAAAUAUGCAGAAACCCACCAAUAUGAAAAAAGAAGAUUGAAGGCCUUAUAAAAUAUAAAUGUUUCCUCACUGGUGACAGCCCUGCCACUAUUAAGCAUUGGUAUAUUAGUCCCCAAGACAUUUACUGCCAUCUGUUGGAAAAUUAGUAGAAUGAAUACAUUAAUCUAAGAUGACCACAAACAUACAUGUCAUCACAUAGUUUUGUGUAGUGUACAAUCUACAACAUACGAGGAUGCAAACCAAAAGUUUUGAGAAGGGAUAAUCAUGCUUAAAAUAAGCCCCACAGACAAUAUUAUUACCAUUAUUUUUCAUUGAUAAUGUAUUCAAUUAGAUAGUAGACAUUUGAGGAAAUGACAAAUAAGAAAGAUCUAAUUGUGACAUAAUUUAUUCAAUAAUUCAUUUAUACAGAAAAUAUUUAUCAAGUGUCUAUAAUGAGUCGAGCUUUAUUCUGGGAUCUAGUUAUAGAGCAAUGAAUAAAUAACACAGACAAAAUUAUCUCCCCUUACAGAGUUUCUGUGGGGAAAAACAAUAAAGUUUAGAUAAGUAUGUCAUUUAUGAGAUAGUAAUAAUUGCUAAAGACAAAAAGUCAAGGAUAAGAAAUACAAAAAUGUUGGGUGAUAAGUAGUUUGAGAAAAAACUUAGGAAGUUCACACAGUGGGGAAUAGUUUGUGUCACUUUAGUCAUAAUGAAAGGCCUUAUCAUAUAUAGGCAUCAAACAGUCUUCAAAAGAAUAUUGCCUUAGUACUGGGGCUACAUUGACUCUAAACCAAAAGCUGCUCUGACCUGCCCUAACAAAGUUCAAAACAAAGACUUGAAAGAAUGCAACUAAUCCCAACUAACUUGACUUUAUGCCAGAACAAAAUCCAACAUGAUUUAAAGAAAAACAACCAAAUUCAGCAAACAGCAAUAAAAAUUUCACAAUGCUUGGUAUCCAAUCAAGUAUAAUUAGUUUUGCAAAGUAGGAAAAUUUAUCCAAAACCAAGAAAAAAUUAAUAAAAGCAGAUUUUAAAAGAUCAGAGCUGAUAAAAUUAGGAGACAGAGACAUUGAGACAGCCAGGCUAAGUAUAUCCAAUGUGUUUAAGAAAAUAGAUGAAUAUAUAAGAAUCAAGAGAAAAGAAAUGGUAGAUUUUUUUAGAUGAUAUUAAAAGUAGAUUUGACACUGUAAAAUAAAUAAUCAAUGAACUUAAAAAUAUAAAAAUAAAUAAAGUGCAGAGAGAAAAAAUAAAAAUAAAGAUCAGAGUAUCCAUGUCCUGAGAGAAUAUCAAAUAGUCUAACAUUUGUGUAAUUGGUGUCCUAGAAGGGUAAUGUGCAGAAAAAGACACUAAUAAAAUAAAAUAAAUCACUAACAUUUUCCAAAUUUGGUGAAAACUAUAAAAUUUCCUGUACUGGGUUGAAUAGUGUGUCUCCCUCCCAAACUCAAGAAACACACACACCAAAUUCAUGUCCAUCCAGAACCUGUGACAGUGACCUUAGCUCGAAAUAGGGUUUUUGUAGAUGUAAUCAAGUUAAGAAGAGUUAAUGCUAAACUAAGAUGUACCCUAAUCUAGUGACUUGUGUCCUUGUAAAAACAGGAAAAUUUGUGCACAGAAAUAUGUGAAGAGGUCAUGUGAAGACAUAAACAGAUAUUGGAGUAAGGUAUCUACAAGCCAAGGAACACUAAAAAUUACUAGCAACCACCAGAACCAAGAAGAGACAAGGAAGGAGUCUUCCCUAGACCCUUCAGAGGGAGCAUGGCCCUGCCAAAAUCUUGAUUUCAGACUUCUGUGUUCUAUAAGUGUGAGAGAAUAAAUAUUUGUCAUUUUAAGCCACAUAGAUUGUGGCAAUUUGUUAUAGUGGCCCUAGGAAAACUAAUAUACCCACAGACCCAAGAAUCUCAAUGGACCCCAAGAAGAAUAUAUAAUUAAAAAAUCAUGCUGAGAACCAUCAUAACUAUUUUUAAAAAUAAAAUUAUGGGUCUAUGACAAAGGAACAUAGGAAUCACCCUGAAAGGGCUCCAAAAGCUCAGAGCUAGAAUGAUUUGAGUAAUAACAUGAGUAAUGUAGUUUUAGACUCUAACCCAAAGCAUAAAUUAAAUAUCCACAAAUCUAUACUGAUAUAAACACAUGGUUUACUAAAUAAAUUAGGUAGAAUAGAUAAAUCCCAUGUACAGAAGAAUUCCAAAUAAUUUGUGUACAUAUUGCCAACUACAAGCAUUAACUUAAGCAGUGGCAAUGCCCUCAAGUUUGAAGAUAUUUUUACUGAGUAAAACAUUUUUGAUUACUUUAAAAACAAAUCAAAUAUUUUCUUAAGACACAUCUGAAAGAAUUCAUCACCAUUAUGUCUACACUACAAAAAAUGUUAAUGAUAGUUCUUUAGGCAGAAGAAACUGACACCACAAAGAAACUGACACCACACCAUAAAGGAAUGAAGAAUGCCAAAAUGGUAACAACUGGGUAAGUGUUAGAGAUAUUUGUCUUUCUUUUUGUUUUUUUGGACAAAGUUUUGCUCUUUUUGCCCAGGCUGGAGUGCAAUGGCACGAUCUUGGCUCACUGCAAUAUCUGCCUCCUGGCUUCAAGUGAUUCUCCUGUCUCAGCCUCUCGAAUAGCUGGGAUUACAGGUGCACGCCACCACACCCAGCUAAUUUUGUAUUUUUAGUAGAGAUGGGGUUUCACCAUGUUGGCCGGGCUGGUCCUGAACUCCUGACCUCAGGUGAUCCACCCACCUCAGCCUCCCAAAGUGCUGAGAUUACAUGCAUGAGCCACAGCUCCCAGCCUUGUUUUUUUAGAUGGAGUCUCACUCUGUCACCCAGGCCGGAGUGCAGUGGUGUGAUCUUGGCUCAUUGCAACCUCUGCCUCCCGGGUUCAAGUGACUCUCCUGCCUCAGCCUCCCAAGUAGCUGGAACAACAGGCAUGUGCGACCACACCCAGCUUAUUUUUGUAUUUUUUAGUAGAGAUGGGGUUUCACCAUAUUGGCCAGGCUGGUCUCAAACUCCUGACCUCAGGUGAUCCACUCACCUCAACCUCCCAAAGUGCUGGGAUUACAGGAAUGAGCCACCACACCCGGCCAUUUUUCUUACUUUUAAUAUUUUUAAAAGAUAAUACCUGUUUAAAGCCAAAAUAAUAAUAAAUUUUUGAAUUUAAAAUAUGUAAAAAAUGUAUAACCAAAAUAACACAAACGAUGGGGUAGUUGAUGAAACUACGUUUUUGGGUUUCUGAUAUUAUAUGUGAAGUGGUCUUCAGGUAGGCCAUCAUAAAUUAAAGAGACAUAUUUUAAACCCUAGAACAAUCCAUGCUAAAAAUAAAACAAAUGAAAAAAUAACAAAAACAAUAAAACCCAAAGAGAUAUAACUAAUAAGCUAAGAGGGGAGAUAAAAUUGAAUAAUUAAAGAAAAAUUUCAACUAAUUUAAAUAAGUUAGAAAAGUAGAUAAAAUGAAAGAACAGUUGAGAAUAGAGCACAAAUACCAAGACUGUAGCUUUAUGUCAAACCAUAUCCAUAAUUAAAUUAAAUUUUAAAUUUUUAAAAUUUCAGUUAGUAGUCAAAAACUGUCAGAUUGGAUAAAAAGCAAGACCCAACUACCUCCUGCAUUAGAAGACAUAUGAUGACAUAAGUAAGUUCAAAAUAAAAGAAUAGUAAAAGAUAUUCCAUGUUAAUAGUAAUCAAAAGAAAUUUGGAGUGGCUAUAAUAACAUCAGACAAGGUAGACUACAGGGAAAGGAAUAGUAUAAGAUAUAAGAAGAAUAUUGCAUAAUUACAAAAGGAUAAAUUUAUCAAGAGGAAUUAAAAAUUUUCAAACUACAUGAAACAUUUGGGUUGGUUCCAAGUCUUUGCUAUUGUAAAUAGUGCUGCAAUAAACAUACAUGUGCAUGCCUCUUUAUAGUAGAAUGAUUUAUAAUCCUUUGAGUAAUAUACCCAGUAGUGGGAUUGCUGGGUCAAAUGGUAUUUCUGGUUCUAGAUCCUUGAGGAAUCGCCACACUGUUUUCCACAAUGGUUGAACUAAUUUACACUCCUACCAACAGUGUAAAAGCAUUUCCAUUUCUCCACAUUCUCACCAGCAUCUGUUGUUUCCAGACUUUUUAAUGAUUGUCAUUCUAAGUGGCAUGAGAUUGUAUUUCAUUGUGGUUUUGAUUUGCAUUUCUUUAAUGACCAGUGAUGAUGAGAUUUUAUUCAUAUGUUUCUUGGCCACAUAAAUGUCUUCUUUUGAGAACUGUCUGUUCAUAAACUUUGCCCACUUUUUGGUGGGGUUGUUUUUUUCUUGUAAAUUUGUUUAAGCUCCCUGUAGAUUCUGAAUAUUAG